UACGUAGGGUGCGAGCGUUGUCCGGAAUUAUUGGGCGUAAAGGGCUCGUAGGCGGUUUGUCGCGUCGGGAGUGAAAUCAUCUGGCUUAACUGGGUGCUUGCUUUCGAUACGGGCAGACUAGAGGUAUGCAGGGGAGAACGGAAUUCCUGGUGUAGCGGUGAAAUGCGCAGAUAUCAGGAGGAACACCGGUGGCGAAGGCGGUUCUCUGGGCAUGAUCUGACGCUGAGGAGCGAAAGCUAGGGGAGCGAAUGGG
RNAcentral lists this ribosomal RNA (253 nucleotides) under uncultured bacterium. Its description in RNAcentral is "partial 16S ribosomal RNA". It matches the Rfam family "Bacterial small subunit ribosomal RNA", at positions 524 to 776 of the family's 1533-position model. The record is from RNAcentral.